RNAcentral lists this ribosomal RNA (253 nucleotides) under uncultured bacterium. RNAcentral's name for it is "partial 16S ribosomal RNA". It matches the Rfam family "Bacterial small subunit ribosomal RNA", at positions 524 to 776 of the family's 1533-position model. The record is from RNAcentral.
CACGUAGGGCGCAAGCGUUGUCCGGAAUUAUUGGGCGUAAAGAGCUCGUAGGCGGUCUGUUGCGUCCGCUGUGAAAACUCGGGGCUUAACCCCGAGCCUGCAGUGGAUACGGGCAGACUAGAGGUAGGUAGGGGAGAAUGGAAUUCCCGGUGUAGCGGUGAAAUGCGCAGAUAUCGGGAGGAACACCGGUGGCGAAGGCGGUUCUCUGGACCGAGACUGACGCUGAGGCGCGAAAGCGUGGGGAGCAAACAGG